GUAGGUGAACCUGCGGAAGGAUCAUUACCUAGAGUUUGUGGACUUCGGUCUGCUACCUCUUACCCAUGUCUUUUGAGUACCUUCGUUUCCUCGGCGGGUCCGCCCGCCGGUUGGACAACAUUCAAACCCUUUGCAGUUGCAAUCAGCGUCUGAAAAAACUUAAUAGUUACAACUUUCAACAACGGAUCUCUUGGUUCUGGCAUCGAUGAAGAACGCAGCGAAAUGCGAUAAGUAGUGUGAAUUGCAGAAUUCAGUGAAUCAUCGAAUCUUUGAACGCACAUUGCGCCCCUUGGUAUUCCAUGGGGCAUGCCUGUUCGAGCGUCAUUUGUACCUUCAAGCUCUGCUUGGUGUUGGGUGUUUUGUCUCGCCUCCGCGCGCAGACUCGCCUUAAAACAAUUGGCAGCCGGCGUAUUGAUUUCGGAGCGCAGUACAUCUCGCGCUUUGCACUCAUAACGACGACGUCCAAAAGUACAUUUUUACACUCUUGACCUCGGAUCAGGUAGGGAUACCCGCUGAACUUAAGCAUAUCAAUAAGCGGAGGA
RNAcentral lists this ribosomal RNA (542 nucleotides) under Epicoccum nigrum. Its description in RNAcentral is "eukaryotic LSU rRNA". The stretch from base 171 to 324 matches the Rfam family "5.8S ribosomal RNA". The record is from RNAcentral. Lineage: Eukaryota; Fungi; Ascomycota; Dothideomycetes; Pleosporales; Didymellaceae.